UAUUAAGCAAAGAUGAAGAGGAGUAAAGUGGGAUAGUAUUAAGAGAGGAAGAUUCACCGGCUGAAAGGUCUUCCAUAUGAAUACACUUGAAGGUAGCUUCGGAGCUUCUUUAUUGAAAUUUAGUAAAUAAAGACGGGUCAAACCGUUAAAAAAAUGAGCCUGUUACAUUGCAGGAAAUAAAGGUGGUACCACGAGUCUUUCGUCCUUUUU
This 210-nucleotide non-coding RNA is filed under the name Clostridium sp. RNAcentral's name for it is "T-box sequence". It matches the Rfam family "T-box leader". Rfam says of the family: Uncharged tRNA acts as the effector for transcription antitermination of genes in the T-box leader family. T-boxes are found upstream of many aminoacyl-tRNA synthetase genes and some amino acid biosynthetic genes usually in Gram-positive bacteria. Lineage: Bacteria; Bacillati; Bacillota; Clostridia; Eubacteriales; Clostridiaceae. The record is from RNAcentral.